GAUGAACGCUGGCGGCGUGCCUAAUACAUGCAAGUCGAGCGAACAGACGAGGAGCUUGCUCCUCUGACGUUAGCGGCGGACGGGUGAGUAACACGUGGAUAACCUACCUAUAAGACUGGGAUAACUUCGGGAAACCGUAGCUAAUACCGGAUAAUAUAUUGAACCGCAUGGUUCAAUAGUGAAAGACGGUUUUGCUGUCACUUAUAGAUGGAUCCGCGCCGCAUUAGCUAGUUGGUAAGGUAACGGCUUACCAAGGCAACGAUGCGUAGCCGACCUGAGAGGGGGAUCGGCCACACUGGAACUGAGACACGGUCCAGACUCCUACGGGAGGCAGCAGUAGGGAAUCUUCCGCAAUGGGCGAAAGCCUGACGGAGCAACGCCGCGUGAGUGAUGAAGGUCUUCGGAUCGUAAAACUCUGUUAUUAGGGAAGAACAAAUGUGUAAGUAACUAUGCACGUCUUGACGGUACCUAAUCAGAAAGCCACGGCUAACUACGUG
This 497-nucleotide ribosomal RNA is filed under the name uncultured bacterium. Its description in RNAcentral is "partial 16S ribosomal RNA". It matches the Rfam family "Bacterial small subunit ribosomal RNA", at positions 28 to 507 of the family's 1533-position model. The record is from RNAcentral.